GGAUCGCGGCCGCGCAGAGUUUGAUCCUGGCUCAGGACGAACGCUUGCGGCGUGCCUAAGAAAUGCAAGUCGAGCGAGGUCAUUCCUAGCAAUAGGGAGAAGCCUAGCGGCGAACGGUCGCGUAACACGUAAGCAACCUGCCCCAAAGACCGGGAUAGCCCGCCGAAAGGAAUUAAUACCGGAUGUGGUUCCGUCAGGGCAUCCUGGUGGAAUUAAAUCCCGCAAGGGCUUUGGGAUGGGCUUGCGGCCUAUCAGCUUGUUGGUGGGGUAACGGCCUACCAAGGCGACGACGGGUAGCUGGUCUGAGAGGAUGGUCAGCCGGACUGGGACUGAGACACGGCCCAGACUCCUACGGGGGGCAGCAAUUAGGAAUCUUGCGCAAUGGGCGAAAGCUGGACGCAGCGACGCCGCGUGACUGAUGAAGUCUUUCGGGAUGUAAAAGUCUUUUCUGGGGGGAAGAACACAAUGACGGUACCCCAGGAAUAAGCCCCGGCUAACUACGUGCCAGCAGCCGCGGUGAUACGUAGGGCGCGAGCUUGUCCGGAUUUACUGGGCGUAAACGCGCGUAGCGGCCUAUUAAGUCGAGUGUGAAAGGCUGGAGCUCAACUCCAGGACUGCGCUCGCUACUCGUCGGCUAGAGCCAAGCACA
This 649-nucleotide ribosomal RNA is filed under the name uncultured bacterium. RNAcentral describes it as "bacterial SSU rRNA". It matches the Rfam family "Bacterial small subunit ribosomal RNA", at positions 1 to 655 of the family's 1533-position model. The record is from RNAcentral.